UCAGUUCUACUAUUAUUUAUUUUUUUAAAUAUUUUUGAAAAAAUAUAAUUUUUUUACAAUAUUUUCAACUUAAACACUAUUCACACUGAACACGUAUGGCAGCUUAACCUACCCAAAUAUGAAGUUUAAGAAGCCAAAACUGUUCUAGCUUUGUUAAAAGUUGUGCUGCAGACUCUCGUGAUGGUUAACAAAGCAAGGAAAAGCACCACUCAAAUCAUGUUACAGUAUCUUUGUUCAGCUGGAUUAUGGGUUGGUAUUGGUCAUAUGUUAGACUCCAUACAGGCAUAGCUAUGAUGCAGUGAAUCCCUUAGAAGUUACAAUUCUCAAAUUACAUACUUCCUCAGAUGUAACAUUAGAACUCAAUAUUUCUAACAAUAACAUACCAGAAAAGGCUGGACUGGCACUCAUCUGCUGACUAACUUGUAGCCUCAGUAAUAUGACAUACUUGCCUUUAACAAAUUAUCUCAAAUUAACUAACAGACCUUCAGAAAAUGGAGAUUCUUUUUGAUGGGGACAUAAUCAAAUUUAAGUCUGAGAAAUAUGCUUAACAGUUGGAACUCAAAUUAAAUGUACUGAUUUUAAAGUUUAGACAUUAACAAGUGAUAGAUUAGCCUCAAAAAAAGACAAUUUGGUAAGGUCAUUAAACUGGUCUUGGAUUUGGUCC
Homo sapiens (human) is the source of this 664-nucleotide long non-coding RNA. NCBI's taxonomy places the organism in Eukaryota, Metazoa, Chordata, Mammalia, Primates, Hominidae. The record is from Ensembl.